RNAcentral lists this ribosomal RNA (2546 nucleotides) under Staphylococcus aureus. Its description in RNAcentral is "partial 23S ribosomal RNA". It matches the Rfam family "Bacterial large subunit ribosomal RNA", at positions 20 to 2564 of the family's 2925-position model. Lineage: Bacteria; Bacillati; Bacillota; Bacilli; Caryophanales; Staphylococcaceae. The record is from RNAcentral.
CACGGUGGAUGCCUUGGCACUAGAAGCCGAUGAAGGACGUUACUAACGACGAUAUGCUUUGGGGAGCUGUAAGUAAGCUUUGAUCCAGAGAUUUCCGAAUGGGGAAACCCAGCAUGAGUUAUGUCAUGUUAUCGAUAUGUGAAUACAUAGCAUAUCAGAAGGCACACCCGGAGAACUGAAACAUCUUAGUACCCGGAGGAAGAGAAAGAAAAUUCGAUUCCCUUAGUAGCGGCGAGCGAAACGGGAAGAGCCCAAACCAACAAGCUUGCUUGUUGGGGUUGUAGGACACUCUAUACGGAGUUACAAAGGACGACAUUAGACGAAUCAUCUGGAAAGAUGAAUCAAAGAAGGUAAUAAUCCUGUAGUCGAAAAUGUUGUCUCUCUUGAGUGGAUCCUGAGUACGACGGAGCACGUGAAAUUCCGUCGGAAUCUGGGAGGACCAUCUCCUAAGGCUAAAUACUCUCUAGUGACCGAUAGUGAACCAGUACCGUGAGGGAAAGGUGAAAAGCACCCCGGAAGGGGAGUGAAAUAGAACCUGAAACCGUGUGCUUACAAGUAGUCAGAGCCCGUUAAUGGGUGAUGGCGUGCCUUUUGUAGAAUGAACCGGCGAGUUACGAUUUGAUGCAAGGUUAAGCAGUAAAUGUGGAGCCGUAGCGAAAGCGAGUCUGAAUAGGGCGUUUAGUAUUUGGUCGUAGACCCGAAACCAGGUGAUCUACCCUUGGUCAGGUUGAAGUUCAGGUAACACUGAAUGGAGGACCGAACCGACUUACGUUGAAAAGUGAGCGGAUGAACUGAGGGUAGCGGAGAAAUUCCAAUCGAACCUGGAGAUAGCUGGUUCUCUCCGAAAUAGCUUUAGGGCUAGCCUCAAGUGAUGAUUAUUGGAGGUAGAGCACUGUUUGGACGAGGGGCCCCUCUCGGGUUACCGAAUUCAGACAAACUCCGAAUGCCAAUUAAUUUAACUUGGGAGUCAGAACAUGGGUGAUAAGGUCCGUGUUCGAAAGGGAAACAGCCCAGACCACCAGCUAAGGUCCCAAAAUAUAUGUUAAGUGGAAAAGGAUGUGGCGUUGCCCAGACAACUAGGAUGUUGGCUUAGAAGCAGCCAUCAUUUAAAGAGUGCGUAAUAGCUCACUAGUCGAGUGACACUGCGCCGAAAAUGUACCGGGGCUAAACAUAUUACCGAAGCUGUGGAUUGUCCUUUGGACAAUGGUAGGAGAGCGUUCUAAGGGCGUUGAAGCAUGAUCGUAAGGACAUGUGGAGCGCUUAGAAGUGAGAAUGCCGGUGUGAGUAGCGAAAGACGGGUGAGAAUCCCGUCCACCGAUUGACUAAGGUUUCCAGAGGAAGGCUCGUCCGCUCUGGGUUAGUCGGGUCCUAAGCUGAGGCCGACAGGCGUAGGCGAUGGAUAACAGGUUGAUAUUCCUGUACCACCUAUAAUCGUUUUAAUCGAUGGGGGGACGCAGUAGGAUAGGCGAAGCGUGCGAUUGGAUUGCACGUCUAAGCAGUAAGGCUGAGUAUUAGGCAAAUCCGGUACUCGUUAAGGCUGAGCUGUGAUGGGGAGAAGACAUUGUGUCUUCGAGUCGUUGAUUUCACACUGCCGAGAAAAGCCUCUAGAUAGAAAAUAGGUGCCCGUACCGCAAACCGACACAGGUAGUCAAGAUGAGAAUUCUAAGGUGAGCGAGCGAACUCUCGUUAAGGAACUCGGCAAAAUGACCCCGUAACUUCGGGAGAAGGGGUGCUCUUUAGGGUUAACGCCCAGAAGAGCCGCAGUGAAUAGGCCCAAGCGACUGUUUAUCAAAAACACAGGUCUCUGCUAAACCGUAAGGUGAUGUAUAGGGGCUGACGCCUGCCCGGUGCUGGAAGGUUAAGAGGAGUGGUUAGCUUCUGCGAAGCUACGAAUCGAAGCCCCAGUAAACGGCGGCCGUAACUAUAACGGUCCUAAGGUAGCGAAAUUCCUUGUCGGGUAAGUUCCGACCCGCACGAAAGGCGUAACGAUUUGGGCACUGUCUCAACGAGAGACUCGGUGAAAUCAUAGUACCUGUGAAGAUGCAGGUUACCCGCGACAGGACGGAAAGACCCCGUGGAGCUUUACUGUAGCCUGAUAUUGAAAUUCGGCACAGCUUGUACAGGAUAGGUAGGAGCCUUUGAAACGUGAGCGCUAGCUUACGUGGAGGCGCUGGUGGGAUACUACCCUAGCUGUGUUGGCUUUCUAACCCGCACCACUUAUCGUGGUGGGAGACAGUGUCAGGCGGGCAGUUUGACUGGGGCGGUCGCCUCCUAAAAGGUAACGGAGGCGCUCAAAGGUUCCCUCAGAAUGGUUGGAAAUCAUUCAUAGAGUGUAAAGGCAUAAGGGAGCUUGACUGCGAGACCUACAAGUCGAGCAGGGUCGAAAGACGGACUUAGUGAUCCGGUGGUUCCGCAUGGAAGGGCCAUCGCUCAACGGAUAAAAGCUACCCCGGGGAUAACAGGCUUAUCUCCCCCAAGAGUUCACAUCGACGGGGAGGUUUGGCACCUCGAUGUCGGCUCAUCGCAUCCUGGGGCUGUAGUCGGUC